GACGAACGCUGGCGGCGCGCUUAACACAUGCAAGUCGAACGGAAAGGCCUGCUUUCCCUUGUGGAUUGCGGGUACUCGAGUGGCGAACGGGUGAGUAACACGUGAGUGAUCUGCCCCCAACUUGGGUAUAAGCCUGGGAAACUGGGUCUAAUUCCCGAUAGGACUGCAGGGUGGUGCCUGUGGUGGAAAACGAUUUUCUAGUGGUUGGGGAUGAGCUCGCGGCCUAUCAGCUUGUUGGUGGGGUAAUGGCCUACCAAGGCGGCGACGGGUAGCCGGCCUGAGAGGGUGGACGGCCACAUUGGGACUGAGAUACGGCCCAGACUCCUACGGGAGGCAGCAGUGGGGAAUAUUGCACAAUGGGCGGAAGCCUGAUGCAGCGACGCCGCGUGGGGGAUGACGGCCUUCGGGUUGUAAACUCCUUUCGACCGCGAGGAAGCCACCUGGUUGGAAGGGUGGUGACGGUAGUGGUAGAAGAAGCACCGGCUAGCUACGUG
This 494-nucleotide ribosomal RNA is filed under the name uncultured bacterium. RNAcentral's name for it is "partial 16S ribosomal RNA". It matches the Rfam family "Bacterial small subunit ribosomal RNA", at positions 28 to 507 of the family's 1533-position model. The record is from RNAcentral.